RNAcentral lists this small nuclear RNA (296 nucleotides) under Jaculus jaculus (lesser Egyptian jerboa). Its description in RNAcentral is "7SK RNA (ENSJJAG00000006926.1)". The stretch from base 5 to 255 matches the Rfam family "7SK RNA". From Rfam's summary of the family: 7SK was discovered as an abundant small nuclear RNA in the mid-70s but a possible function has only recently been suggested. Two independent studies have found that 7SK RNA binds the CDK9/cyclin T complex (known as elongation factor P-TEFb). The record is from RNAcentral. Lineage: Eukaryota; Metazoa; Chordata; Mammalia; Rodentia; Dipodidae.
GGAUGUGAGGGAGAUCUGGCUGUGACAUCUGUCACCCGUUCAUCUCCAGGGUCGAUUCAACUGGCAAGUGUCCUCUUCCUACCUCGCUGUAUGUGUUCCUCCUGAUGAGCUACCUGCUCGGUUGAAGACAAUGUCCUUCCCUCAUAGAGGAGGACCAUUCUUCACAAGUGCCUGUGCUCCCCUGCUUAAACCUCCAAACACACUCUUAAAUGAAAGUGGGGCAUAAUGACAGACACCUGAAACCCCAACAUCUAUGGGGCUGAGGCAGGAGGAUUGCAAGGUUAAGGCCACUCUGG